ACGGGAGGCAGCAGUGGGGAAUAUUGGGCAAUGGGCGAAAGCCUGACCCAGCGACGCCGCGUGAGGGAAGAAGGUCUUCGGAUUGUAAACCUUAGUCAACAGGGAAGAAGCAAGUGACGGUACCUGUGGAGGAAGCCACGGCUAACUACGUGCCAGCAGCCGCGGUAAUACGUAGGUGGCGAGCGUUAUCCGGAUUUACUGGGUGUAAAGGGAGCGUAGACGGCAUGGCAAGCCAGAUGUGAAGGGUGGGGGCUCAACUCCCAAGCUGCAUUUGGAACUGUCAAGCUAGAGUAUCGGAGAGGUAAGUGGAAUUCCUAGUGUAGCGGUGAAAUGCGUAGAUAUUAGGAGGAACACCAGUGGCGAAGGCGGCUUACUGGACGAUAACUGACGUUGAGGCUCGAAAGCGUGGGGAGCAAACAGGAUUAGAUACCCUGGUA
Molecule: ribosomal RNA, 437 nt
Filed under: uncultured Lachnospiraceae bacterium
Lineage: Bacteria; Bacillati; Bacillota; Clostridia; Lachnospirales; Lachnospiraceae
Description: partial 16S ribosomal RNA
Rfam family: Bacterial small subunit ribosomal RNA
Source: RNAcentral